Molecule: small nucleolar RNA, 262 nt
Filed under: Camarhynchus parvulus
Lineage: Eukaryota; Metazoa; Chordata; Aves; Passeriformes; Thraupidae
Description: Small Cajal body-specific RNA 7 (ENSCPVG00000010398.2)
Rfam family: Small Cajal body-specific RNA 7
Source: RNAcentral
GAGAAGUGAUGACACAGAGACAGUUGGGUGUGUUUGGAUGGGGUGUGUGUGAGCAGGGGGGUGGGGGCUGUGUGAGGUGUGUGGGGGCUCCCCUGGGGGGCACUGAUGGCAGUGCUGAGCCAGGAGUGCAUCUGAGGCGUGUUGGGCACCUCGGGGCCCCUCUGCAACACUGCCGGUGAUUAAAGCCCCAAAAAAGCCCACCAGGAGAGCCCCAGGCAGCCCAAGUGUCUCCAGGGUCACCAGAUCCUGUGCUCUGAUCUCA